Salvia miltiorrhiza (redroot sage) is the source of this 1586-nucleotide long non-coding RNA. RefSeq lists it as uncharacterized. Lineage: Eukaryota; Viridiplantae; Streptophyta; Magnoliopsida; Lamiales; Lamiaceae. The record is from RefSeq and is a predicted model, not a curated record. The transcript has 2 exons.
GAUCUGGAAAGCUCCGGUUCCACACAAAGCAAAAAUGACUGCUUGGAGGAUUAUGAAAGGAAGAAUGGCUACUUGCGAUAACCUCGUUCGAAGACAUGUACUCAACACUUCUCCGGAAACGGACUGCAUAUUUUGUCAUUCUCAGAUGGAGGAUCUGGAGCAUAUUCUCUUUCUUUGUGAAAAAAUAGGAGAGAUUUGGAAUGCGUUUCUUCGGUGGAUUGGUAAGAGCUCGGCUUUACAUCACAGUGCAAAAGAACACUUCCUUGCUUUCAUUGGUCUUGGGAAUAAAGCUGAAACUCGAUUCCUUACUGGUUUGUGGAUUAGCAUUGUUUGGAGCAUUUAGAAAGUGAGAAAUAACUGUAUCUUCAAGCAAGGUGUGUGGAACAAAGAUAAAUUGGUUUUGGAGAUCAAGAAGAAACUUUGGAGUUGGAAAAUGAUUUUUAAGCUGGAGGCGCCUGUUUUGGAUCUCCAAUCCUGGCUCUCGCUUGAAGGGAUCUUGAGUUGAUAGUUCGUGACGCGUUGGUGGCUCCUGCCUUUGUGUUUUCCUGGUUGUUUGGCUUGUUCUCUCUGUCUGGUUGCUGUCUGUAUUAACUCUUGGUACUUCUUGUACCUUCCAGUUAUUUAAUUGCACUUUUUUCUGAUUUAAAAAAAAAUGGAUAGUAGUCAGCAAACCAAUUAGUUAGGCAUGUUGGAGAAUUUCAGUAAAUUCUUCCUCCAUUAGAUCUUCCGUACAUUGCAUUCCCUCAUUUUACGGAAAUGUCUUACCUACACCCUUCGCACUACACAUCGCCGCUAGGAUGCGGACACGUCGCCCCUUGAAUAAACCAUUCGGGUUGCCUUUAUCUUCGACCAGACCGGUUCGCUUUAUUAAAAUACCAUCGAUUCUAUUUCAGUACUGUUUAUCCCAAUACCGCUUUGAGCUUUGGAAUUGGUGCGUGGCUUGGAUAAGACAUGUCAUCUAUAUAGUCCGGGAACAUCAACCUUGAACACAUGGGCCUCUGUCGUCUCUUUCCAGUUGAUGCGGGCAUCGGCCAUCGGUUCACCGCGGUAGUCUCACGGGCGGUGGAGGGGAGGUUGGAGAGAAGAAAUCCCUCGAAGGGAUCCCAUAUAUCGAGGCAGAAUGGAUUGUAGAUGUUGUUGCGGCAACUGCCGAAGAAGCUCAGAAUCAUAGACAUUUUUCGCUUUCUAUUUUGGUUGUUAAUGGAUCUUCAGUCAAGACGAGGAAGGAAAAGCUGGGUGGGUGGAGGUUGAAGGGGGAAAUACUGUACAGGCGACGGCGAGAGUAAUCAGACGGCAGGGGACAGGGGUCAGCGAAGUUACAGGAUGAAGAAGAGAGAGAGAGAGAUUUACAGAAGAGAGAGAAAGAAAGAGAGAUUUACAGAAGAGAGAGAGUUCACGUCUAUGUGUAGUGGAGAGGAGAGGAGAGGAGAGAGAGUAUUUAAAGUAUUUUUUUAAUAAAAUAUUAUUAAUACUAAACUAUAGGAUUUAUGUAAACUAAUAUAUAUAGUGGUAAUGUAUAUAUAUAUAUAUAUAUAUAUAUAUAUAUACAUACGAGUAUAUCUAUAAUAAUUAUUCUCUUAUAUUUC